This 492-nucleotide ribosomal RNA is filed under the name uncultured bacterium. Its description in RNAcentral is "partial 16S ribosomal RNA". It matches the Rfam family "Bacterial small subunit ribosomal RNA", at positions 28 to 507 of the family's 1533-position model. The record is from RNAcentral.
GAUGAACGCUCGCUACAGGCUUAACACAUGCAAGUCGAGGGGAAACGCCAUCGAAAGCUUGCUUUUGAUGGGCGUCGACCGGCGCACGGGUGAGUAACGCGUAUCCAACCUGCCCACCACUUGGGGAUAACCUUGCGAAAGUAAGACUAAUACCCAAUGACGUCCCUAGAAGACAUCUGAAAGAGAUUAAAGAUUUAUCGGUGAUGGAUGGGGAUGCGUCUGAUUAGCUUGUUGGCGGGGUAACGGCCCACCAAGGCGACGAUCAGUAGGGGUUCUGAGAGGAAGGUCCCCCACAUGGGAACUGAGACACGGUCCAAACUCCUACGGGAGGCAGCAGUGAGGAAUAUUGGUCAAUGGACGAGAGUCUGAACCAGCCAAGUAGCGUGCAGGAUGACGGCCCUAUGGGUUGUAAACUGCUUUUAUAAGGGAAUAAAGUGAGUCUCGUGAGACUUUUUGCAUGUACCUUAUGAAUAAGGACCGGCUAAUUCCGUG